UGAGUAAACCGUAUAAAACUCAGGGUACAC
RNAcentral lists this non-coding RNA (30 nucleotides) under Mus musculus (house mouse). The record is from RNAcentral. Lineage: Eukaryota; Metazoa; Chordata; Mammalia; Rodentia; Muridae.